ACCGGAGUGGACGAACCUCUGGUGUUCCGGUUGUCACGCCAGUGGCAUUGCCGGGUAGCUAUGUUCGGAAUAGAUAACCGCUGAAAGCAUCUAAGCGGGAAAGUAGC
RNAcentral lists this ribosomal RNA (107 nucleotides) under Klebsiella pneumoniae. RNAcentral describes it as "partial 23S ribosomal RNA". It matches the Rfam family "Bacterial large subunit ribosomal RNA", at positions 2691 to 2797 of the family's 2925-position model. The record is from RNAcentral. Lineage: Bacteria; Pseudomonadati; Pseudomonadota; Gammaproteobacteria; Enterobacterales; Enterobacteriaceae.